RNAcentral lists this ribosomal RNA (561 nucleotides) under Rhodotorula sp. RNAcentral's name for it is "partial large subunit ribosomal RNA". It matches the Rfam family "Eukaryotic large subunit ribosomal RNA", at positions 82 to 655 of the family's 3401-position model. The record is from RNAcentral. Lineage: Eukaryota; Fungi; Basidiomycota; Microbotryomycetes; Sporidiobolales; Sporidiobolaceae.
AGUAGCGGCGAGCGAAGCGGGAAGAGCUCAAAUUUAUAAUCUGGCACCUUCGGUGUCCGAGUUGUAAUCUCUAGAAGUGUUUUCCGCGUUGGACCGCACACAAGUCUGUUGGAAUACAGCGGCAUAGUGGUGAAACCCCCGUAUAUGGUGCGGACGCCCAGCGCUUUGUGAUACACUUUCAAUGAGUCGAGUUGUUUGGGAAUGCAGCUCAAAUUGGGUGGUAAAUUCCAUCUAAAGCUAAAUAUUGGCGAGAGACCGAUAGCGAACAAGUACCGUGAGGGAAAGAUGAAAAGCACUUUGGAAAGAGAGUUAACAGUACGUGAAAUUGUUGGAAGGGAAACGCUUGAAGUCAGACUUGCUUGCCGGAGCUUGCUUCGGUUUGCAGGCCAGCAUCAGUUUUCCGGGGUGGAUAAUGACGGUUUGAAGGUAGCAGUCUCGGCUGUGUUAUAGCUUUCCGUUGGAUACAUCCUGGGGGACUGAGGAACGCAGCGUGCUUUUUGCGAAAGACUCGUCUUUUUCACGCUUAGGAUGCUGGUGGAAUGGCUUUAAACGACCCGUCUU